UGCCUUUGAAUCAAAAUGUAAAACUCUUGGC
Molecule: non-coding RNA, 31 nt
Filed under: Mus musculus (house mouse)
Lineage: Eukaryota; Metazoa; Chordata; Mammalia; Rodentia; Muridae
Source: RNAcentral